CGGUACGCGAGCUGGGUUCAGAACGUCGUGAGACAGUUCGGUCCCUAUCCGUCGCGGGCGCAGGAAAUUUGAGAGGAGCUGUCCUUAGUACGAGAGGACCGGGAUGGACGCACCGCUGGUGUACCAGUUGUUCUGCCAAGGGCAUCGCUGGGUAGCUAUGUGCGGACGGGAUAAGUGCUGAAAGCAUCUAAGCAUGAAGCCCCCCUCAAGAUGAGAUUUCCCAUUCCGCAAGGAAGUAAGAUCCCUGAAAGAUGAUCAGGUUGAUAGGUCUGAGGUGGAAGUGUGGCGACACAUGGAGCUGACAGAUACUAAUCGAUCGAGGACUUAACCA
RNAcentral lists this ribosomal RNA (331 nucleotides) under Bacillus amyloliquefaciens. RNAcentral describes it as "bacterial LSU rRNA". It matches the Rfam family "Bacterial large subunit ribosomal RNA", at positions 2594 to 2925 of the family's 2925-position model. The record is from RNAcentral. Lineage: Bacteria; Bacillati; Bacillota; Bacilli; Caryophanales; Bacillaceae.